This 579-nucleotide long non-coding RNA is filed under the name Capsicum annuum. RNAcentral describes it as "long non-coding RNA (CANN_LNC015310)". Lineage: Eukaryota; Viridiplantae; Streptophyta; Magnoliopsida; Solanales; Solanaceae. The record is from RNAcentral.
UAUCAAGCAAAUGCAACACACAAGUGAUUCCACCCUUGUGCUAUGCCCUAGUUUUGGUUUAGGACUCUCUCUUUAUCUAAGAGAAGUGUUAUUUCAAUAACAAAUAUAAACUAAGGAAAUAAACCCUACAAGGUUCUAUUUAUACAACAUUACAAAUAAUAGAGAAAUGACAAAAGAGCCCUUUAGUGACUAGUCUUUAAAAAUACUCAAAAGUGUCUUGAUCAUGAUCAUACUUGUAUCAAUAGCACUUUCAUUCCCAUUAGUAUAUGGUGGCUUAUUUUUACUUCUCAAUUAUCCUUUUAGUAUAACUGUCUGUAAUAUAUAUUCUUGCCUUACGUCAUAUUUAUACUUGUGUUAUCUUUAGAGCUUACUCGGUUGAUAACUACUGAGUACCUCAUGUUUGGUACUCAUACUACACUCUGUAGCCUGUAGAUUGUAGUAUGAGUUUUCACUACUAAUAUGUGCAACGUAUGGAGCUGUUAUGGAUUGAAGAUUUGAGGUAAGGUCUAGAUGUGAGGAGUUGUUCCUUCUCCCUCUCUCUUUUGUUGGAUUGAUCUUUGUUUUGUAUUUUGGAAAAGG